AAAUGCGGCAUGCUAUACAUGCAGUCGAGCGAAUGGAUUAAGAGCUUGCUCUUAUGAAGUUAGCGGCGGACGGGUGAGUAACACGUGGGUAACCUGCCCAUAAGACUGGGAUAACUCCGGGAAACCGGGGCUAAUACCGGUAACAUUUUGAACCGCAUGGUUCAAAAUUGAAAGGCGGCUUCGGCUGUCACUUAUGGAUGGACCCGCCUCGCAUUACCUAUUUGGUGAGGUAACGGCUCACCAAGGCAACAAUGCGUACCCAACCUGAGAGGGUGAUCGGCCACACUGGGACUGAAACACGGCCCAAACUCCUACGGGAGGCAGCAUUAGGGAAUCUUCCGCAAUGGACAAAACUCUGACGGACCAACCCCGCGUGAGUGAUGAAGGCUUUCGGGUCGUAAAACUCUGUUGUUAGGGAAAAACAAGUGCUAUUUGAAUAAGCUGGCACCUUGACGGUACCUAACCAAAAACCCACGGCUAACUACGUGCCAACACCCGCGGUAAUACAUAUGUGGCAAGCUUUAUCCGGAAUUAUUGGGCGUAAAGCGCGCGCGGGUGGUUUCUUAUCUCUGAUGUGAAACCCCAGGGCUCACCCGGGGAGGGUCAUUGAAAACUGGGAGACUUGUGUGCAAAAGAGGAAAGUGAAAUUCCAUGUGUAGCGGUGAAAUGCAUAGAUAUAUGGAAGAACACCUGUGGCAAGCGCGACUUUCUGGUCUGUAACUGACACUGAGGCGCGAGAGCGUGGAGAGCAAACGAGAUUAUAUACCCUGGUAGUCCACGCCAUACACUAUGAGUGCUAAGUGUUAGAGGGGUUUCCCCCCCUAUAGUGCUGAAUUUAACACAUUUACACACUCCCGCCUGGGAGAGUAGCCGCCGCAAGGCUGACACUCAGAAAAUAUUUUUCCCGAAAAAAAAAAA
This 918-nucleotide ribosomal RNA is filed under the name Bacillus cereus. Its description in RNAcentral is "bacterial SSU rRNA". It matches the Rfam family "Bacterial small subunit ribosomal RNA", at positions 32 to 1389 of the family's 1533-position model. Lineage: Bacteria; Bacillati; Bacillota; Bacilli; Caryophanales; Bacillaceae. The record is from RNAcentral.